AUACGUAGGGGACGAGCGUUGUCCGGAAUUACUGGGCGUAAAGGGCGCGCAGGCGGAUAUUUAAGUCAGCUGUAAAAGGCAUGAGCUCAACUCAUGUAUGCGGUUGAAACUGGGUAUCUAGAGUGCUGGAGAGGUAGGCGGAAUUUCCGGUGUAGCGGUGAAAUGCGUAGAUAUCGGGAAGAACACCAGUGGCGAAGGCGGCUUACUGGCCAGCAACUGACGCUGAGGCGCGAAAGCCAGGGGAGCGAACGGGAUUAGAUACCCCGGUAGUCCUGGCCGUAAACGAUGAAUGCUAGGUGUGGGUGUCGAGAGGCAUCCGUGCCGGAGUUAACGUGAUAAGCAUUCCGCCUGGGGAGUACGAUCGCAAGAUUGAAACUCAAAGGAAUUGACGGGG
RNAcentral lists this ribosomal RNA (394 nucleotides) under uncultured bacterium. Its description in RNAcentral is "partial 16S ribosomal RNA". It matches the Rfam family "Bacterial small subunit ribosomal RNA", at positions 523 to 918 of the family's 1533-position model. The record is from RNAcentral.